GAGAAUGAUUGAUAAAACAAUAUUAUAAGCUGAUUUUAAGCUUGAGUUUAUCUUUAGAUAUUUAUGCAGUUGUUUUAUCUUGGACCAUGAUGUUCUGGAUGCAGUUGUUCAAUUAAUAUUGAUUGAAAUAAUAAAACAAUAUUAAUGAUUAAGUUAGGACCAGAAAACUCUGGAUUAAUUUGGUUGUGAUUAAUUAGGACCAGAAUAUUCUGAAGAGAUUAAUAAAUAUUAGUAUGAUUGUGAUUUUGUGUGUGUAUGUAGUGUAACUUUAACACAGGAGAUUUAUUCUGGUUCACCAAACUCGACUACUUCCAGUCCCCCACACCUCGUGUGAGAUUAUCCACUAUAGUAUCUUGCUAACAUAAACUUUUGACUAGCACUACAAGUUCUUGAUUACACCAUAUCAGUCCAUUUUCCUUGUAUUAUCAACCUCAACAAACUUCUUCAAUUCUUUGAUUUCGCACAAGGAAGGUUGUUACGAAUAGACUUGAGAACACGAUACCCUUUAUAUGACGAGAUGGGUUUGUGAUCGGAUUUACACUCAACUCGUGUUUGAGGGUAUGAUGCUAUAAACACACUCACAAUAUGUGAUCCACAAAUCUAUUAUGAGCUAUAGUGUGUUAUAGAUUAAGAGAUUGUGAUAUUUGCACGUAAAAGUGGAUUAUGGUUAAAAUUAAUCUCUUAGCCUCAAAGGCUUCUCAACUCAUGUUUGAGAUUAUGAUGAACAAACUCUUGAUAUUGAUAAAAAAAAAAAAAAUAUAGUGAGAGUGUUGGAGUUUGUUUGUAUGUGAAGAGUUUUUAAAGUAGUGAUGAUUUCGCUUGAGAGAUGAUUUCUUUGUUUUUUUUUUUUUUUUUGUUACAAGAUGAUUUCUUUUUUUUAAAAACUCUUGAUAUUUCUA
RNAcentral lists this long non-coding RNA (899 nucleotides) under Medicago truncatula (barrel medic). Its description in RNAcentral is "long non-coding RNA (MTRU_LNC006275)". The record is from RNAcentral. Lineage: Eukaryota; Viridiplantae; Streptophyta; Magnoliopsida; Fabales; Fabaceae.